This 495-nucleotide ribosomal RNA is filed under the name Triticum aestivum (bread wheat). RNAcentral describes it as "partial small subunit ribosomal RNA". Lineage: Eukaryota; Viridiplantae; Streptophyta; Magnoliopsida; Poales; Poaceae. The record is from RNAcentral.
AUGAAGUUCAACAUGGAAAAUUGUCGUGGAUUGCAUUAUUUGAGAAUUUUCCAUGUGUUCUGCAUUUUAGGUAGCGCAGAAUCAGUAAGUUCUACUACUGGUGCACGCCAAGUUCAAGGAUUUUGCCAUGCUCGAGCAUCCACUGGCUCCGACCUCCACCUGCUGUCGCGCGCCUGGGAUCCGCAACCUCUGACCUCGCGUGGACCUUGGCUGGUUUCUCUAUCCCGAGUGCCGCCGCCGGCCUCCCUGCAGCAUGGCUUUGGUUCCCUCUCCGGAUGCGUCUGCGCCAACCAUCUCUACGAGACUACCCUAUUCCUUCGCUGGACUACUCCUUCCACCAGCAGCCCCCUAGCAAACCUCAUGUCUCAUAUUUGUUCUUAUUUUCUUGCAGGAUGCAUCAAAAAGCCAGAUUCACAAAUUCAUCUUCUAUAUGCUUUUCAGUUCAUCAACUUCCCAUUGAUGGAAGAAGGAAAUCAGUCCAACAGGCGCAUCUAA